RNAcentral lists this ribosomal RNA (453 nucleotides) under uncultured Bacteroidales bacterium. RNAcentral's name for it is "bacterial SSU rRNA". It matches the Rfam family "Bacterial small subunit ribosomal RNA", at positions 917 to 1370 of the family's 1533-position model. Lineage: Bacteria; Pseudomonadati; Bacteroidota; Bacteroidia; Bacteroidales. The record is from RNAcentral.
GGGCCCGCACAAGCGGAGGAACAUGUGGUUUAAUUCGAUGAUACGCGAGGAACCUUACCCGGGCUUGAAAUGCAUCUGGCGUCCCGAGAGAUCGGGAUUUCCUUCGGGACAGAUGUGUAGGUGCUGCAUGGUUGUCGUCAGCUCGUGCCGUGAGGUGUCGGCUUAAGUGCCAUAACGAGCGCAACCCUCAUCGUUAGUUGCCAUCAGGUAGUGCUGGGGACUCUAACGAGACUGCCAUCGUAAGAUGCGAGGAAGGUGGGGAUGACGUCAAAUCAGCACGGCCCUUACGUCCGGGGCGACACACGUGUUACAAUGGGUGGUACAAAGGGCAGCUACAUGGCGACAUGAUGCCAAUCUCCAAAACCACUCUCAGUUCGGAUCGGAGUCUGCAACUCGACUCCGUGAAGCUGGAUUCGCUAGUAAUCGCGCAUCAGCCACGGCGCGGUGAAUACG